RNAcentral lists this long non-coding RNA (887 nucleotides) under Equus asinus (donkey). RNAcentral describes it as "lncRNA (ENSEASG00005035794.1)". The record is from RNAcentral. Lineage: Eukaryota; Metazoa; Chordata; Mammalia; Perissodactyla; Equidae.
GAAAACUAGGGGCUUUGCUGGAUCACUCAGCAGGGAGGAUGUGGGCCUGGAGCUUCUAGGGACCACCAUGUGGAGGGCACCCAUGAGAGAGAAGGCAGCACGGAGGUUGUGAUAUAGAAAGUAUUGCUGACUUUAUUUUUGGAUGAGGAAACUGCGACUUGGAGCCACGAGAUGACUCGCCCCGGCCUUUGAGGUGAUGCGACCUUGUAGCUGAGGGCUGAUGCCCAACCAGGCACCGAGCGGGAGACUUGAGAAACCUCAGCAACAGCAGACAUGAAGAAGAAAGCCUUGAAGCUGCGGGGAAACCGCAGCGCUCCUGCUUGCUCUUUGCCACCGGGGCAGGUGGGAGGGGGGCGGGCCGAAGCAUCAGCCAGCCCCAGCUCCGUCCAAACCUGUUCUCCUCUCCCCUGUUGCCCAGUCACUUUAGUGGGCUCCCACCCACCCCUCACCGGCCCUGUGGGCCCACCCAGAGGCAAGUGAUGGGGAAGAACACCAUGACCACCGUCAUAAAAUGGCUGGGACUCAAGUCUUCAACUGACUAAAAAUUUCCAGUUUGGACUGAAUUUCCCUGAACGUGUCUCAAUUAUAUUGUCAGAGGCGGUGAGGAGAAAGAGUCAAGAAAAUUGUGUUUGGUCAAAAAAUACACUUAUCCUGUUUCUUCUCCUCCUGGGUUCUGUAGACAGUCCUACUUGCUCCGUGCACAAGCACCUUGUUCACGACCCUGAGGUGACCACAGCAGGAAGAGAGCACUGGCCAAAUGUUGACAGGAAGGCUGACACUUGAAGGGAUUGCAGCGGCUUAUUUGCAUUUCAACCACACUCUUACAGCAUUGACUGUGGGCCAGCCCUGUCUUAAGUGCCUGAUAAAUAUCAGUUCAAUUAAUCCUC